UUGUGAGUUCGUUUAUAUUUUUUGAAAUUAGGGUUAAAAGGUGCAGCAAAAUUUUGUGGAUCAAUGGACAUGCGAGCUUUUAUAUCACAGCAACCAAAAAACAUUUUCAACAGGCUGGUACUAAAGAAAAAAAUUUGAAGUUUGAACAUCAAGGUGAUGAAUAUUCGACAGAAUUAACUCUAUCUGGCGAUGGUACAUGGAAAAAGCGAGGGUAUGCUUCCUUGUAAGGUGUGACGUCAUUGAUCGGAUACUUUUAUGAUGAUCUAGUUCAGAGCUAUAGUGGUCACCGCAAAACGUCUUUAACAGAAAUACCUAAUAAUGCUGUUGGGUAAUUAACCGGUGAUUUCACAGGAUGUUAGCCUCAAAAUCACCUUUUCAUUCUUGGCUUGGAUGCGCGCAUGUGGUUUCAAAUUCAAUAGGAGAGAUUGUUUAGCCAAGUUGGAACAGCACUAAAGGCUAAAAACAUCAACAAAUUAUUAUUUUUAAACAAAAAAAAGUGGAUUAUUGAGGAAUAAAAUACUCUACCGAAACGUAUUUUAAGUAUACAUUUCUUGAUCUCAUAUUACAUUAGAAAAUUAAUAAAAAAUAUGUACAUUUUUAUAACUCUUCAGCUCUCAGGCAGUUUAUGUAGUAACAUGAAAAUUUGUAUUUAUUAUUUUUUUGUGUUUCCCUUAUUGUUCAUGUAUUGCUUAAAAAUAAAUAAAUUAUUAUUCCAUAAAAAUGAAGUGUAUACGACUAUCGAGAGUUUUGCAGCUCUAGUACUAGGGUCACUAAACAAUUUUUCAGUUAAUAUUAUAUAUCUUCUUCUUGGUUUUCCAUAGAAAUCUCAAGAUCACUUCGAAUGUACCAUGGUUUAAGGAUUUUAGUCUGGAACCUUUGUACUAUAUAAAUACCAUACAUCGAAUUUGGCUUUAUUAACGCGUUGUGUAAUAAAACUUUGUUGUCAAGGCUAAUUUUAAAAUAUAUAUUUAAAAGCCAAUUAAAAUUUGCUUCCCUUACUUUCAUACUAGUUAUUUUGCUUGUAAAAUGUUUUCUCCAUGUGAGCCUUCUGUCUAAGUGACUGCCAAGAUACGCCAUUUGAUAUGAAAUUCAAUAUUUUAGCAGUAAAUUUCCUAUUUUUUAAUAAGACUCCAAUGUUUUCUACGAAUCGUUUUCGUUUUAAAACGAUAUAAAAACGUCUAUGUGGCAUUCUUUAUGGCGUUGUCGUCAUUUAUCGAAAAUAAAUUGGUAUUUCCAUUUUGAAACGAGUAUGAGCAGAGAACGUAUAUCAUACAGAGAACGUAUAUUAUAAUAUACACUCUCUGUUUUUAGUCAAUUCAUAGGGCAAUCCCUGCGUUUCAGAAAUUGUGAAAAGUUUAACUCUUUCCAAAACAUUGUGACGAAUACGGAUGAUAGAACAAAAUCGAAUCAACGAUAAAUUGCCAGAAGCCACUAGUUAGC
Molecule: non-coding RNA, 1440 nt
Organism: Bactrocera oleae (olive fruit fly)
Lineage: Eukaryota; Metazoa; Arthropoda; Insecta; Diptera; Tephritidae
Source: RefSeq, a predicted model, not a curated record